GACGCUCUUCCGAUCUCCGGUUGUGACGCCAGUCGCAUCGCCGGGUAGCUAUGUUCGGAAGGGAUAACCGCUGAAAGCAUCUAAGCGGGAAGCCUACCUCAAGAUAAGAUUUCCCUAGGACUUUAUGUCCUCUAAAGAGCCGUUCGAGACUAGGACGUUGAUAGGUUGGAUGUGGAAGCAUAGUGAUAUGUGAAGCUGACCAAUACUAAUUGCUCGUGAGGCUUGACUAU
Molecule: ribosomal RNA, 230 nt
Filed under: Acinetobacter baumannii
Lineage: Bacteria; Pseudomonadati; Pseudomonadota; Gammaproteobacteria; Moraxellales; Moraxellaceae
Description: partial 23S ribosomal RNA
Rfam family: Bacterial large subunit ribosomal RNA
Source: RNAcentral